This 424-nucleotide ribosomal RNA is filed under the name uncultured prokaryote. Its description in RNAcentral is "bacterial SSU rRNA". It matches the Rfam family "Bacterial small subunit ribosomal RNA", at positions 355 to 796 of the family's 1533-position model. The record is from RNAcentral.
UGGGGAAUAUUGGACAAUGGGGGCAACCCUGAUCCAGCCAUGCCGCGUGAGUGAUGAAGGCCUUAGGGUUGUAAAGCUCUUUCGCCGGUGAAGAUAAUGACGGUAACCGGUAAAGAAGCCCCGGCUAACUUCGUGCCAGCAGCCGCGGUAAUACGAAGGGGGCUAGCGUUGUUCGGAAUUACUGGGCGUAAAGCGCGCGUAGGCGGACUAUUAAGUCAGGGGUGAAAUCCCGGGGCUCAACCUCGGAAUUGCCUUUGAUACUGGUAGUCUAGAGUCCGUGAGAGGUGGGGGGAACUCCGAGUGUGGAGGUGAAAUUCGUAGAUAUUCGGAAGAACACCGGUGGGGAAGGCGGCUCACUGGCACGGUACGGACGCUGAGGUGCGAAAGCGUGGGGAGCAAACGGGAUUAGAUACCCCCGUAGUCC